This 194-nucleotide long non-coding RNA is filed under the name Mustela putorius furo (domestic ferret). RNAcentral describes it as "lncRNA (ENSMPUG00000026058.1)". The record is from RNAcentral. Lineage: Eukaryota; Metazoa; Chordata; Mammalia; Carnivora; Mustelidae.
CUCAACUUUUCAAUCUCCGCAGCAUUGAGUCCAUCAUAGAUUUACUUGCUUUGUUGGGAGGGGAGGCAGAAGGAGAAAGAAUCCCAAGCAGACUACCCACUGAGUGCGGAGCCCUCCUGGGGCCUGAUCUCACCACGCUGAGAUCAUGACCCUGAGAUCUUGACCCUGAGAUCAUGACCUGAGCCAAAAUCAAG